RNAcentral lists this ribosomal RNA (452 nucleotides) under Parmelia serrana. RNAcentral describes it as "SSU rRNA". Lineage: Eukaryota; Fungi; Ascomycota; Lecanoromycetes; Lecanorales; Parmeliaceae. The record is from RNAcentral.
CACUUGGAGGAUGUAUAGCAAUAGCUACUUGCAUCAUCCUUUUCUCAUUUUAUUCUUCUCGUUUUCUUCUUUUUAAGAAGAAAAUGAGAAGAAUAAAAGUAGAGAAAAGUAAAGAUGAUGCAAGAUCGACUAUGUCGAAUAAAAUUCUAGGUAGAAUUAUGAUAUUGACAUUGUCUGCCUAUGUGUCUUGACCAAAUUACGUGCCAGCUGUCGCGGUAAUACGUAGAAGACUAGUGUUAUUCAUGUUUAAUCGGUUUAAAGGGUACCUAGACGGUAAAUCAAGCUUUCAAAGAAAAAGAAGACAAAAUUGAUAGUAUAGUGAUAAUUAAAGGACUAAUUUACUAGAGUUACUUAUGAGGGGGUAUUAAAGUACUGCUGGUGUAGAGAUGAAAUUCUGUCAUACCUCUUUUCAAAAGAAAAAUGAUGGCACAGGUAUAGGCGAAGGCAUCCCC